This 82-nucleotide ribosomal RNA is filed under the name Bacillus pumilus. RNAcentral also lists the same sequence under 1 other name. Lineage: Bacteria; Bacillati; Bacillota; Bacilli; Caryophanales; Bacillaceae. The record is from RNAcentral.
UUUGGUGGCGAUAGCGAAGAGGUCACACCCGUUCCCAUACCGAACACGGAAGUUAAGCUCUUCAGCGCCGAUGGUAGUUGGG